This 762-nucleotide long non-coding RNA is filed under the name Bos taurus (domestic cattle). Its description in RNAcentral is "long non-coding RNA NONBTAT010886". Lineage: Eukaryota; Metazoa; Chordata; Mammalia; Artiodactyla; Bovidae. The record is from RNAcentral.
AGUAAUAUGAUAAUCAAAGAAUUUUUAAAUGGUAUCAAGUCAACUGAGAUGUUUGUUAUUAAAAAAGACAUAAUUUAUUUUUUGUAAAGUAGACUGCAAAAGAGUAUAUUUGUCCUAAAGUGGUAAGUGUGUAAAAAGAAAGAUAGGUAGUCUCAUCAUCAUUAAUGUUGCUCCAUAAAAUCUCCUGAACUGCAUUUGAAUCAUCCUUCAGGGUCACUCAUUUCCCUUCCUUUCCUGCCUUCCUGCAGCCCUUAAAGAAAACAGCUCUAGUGUUAAGAGAAAAGGAUUUGUUUCUGUGUUGAAAGUAAGGAGAUGUGAAAGGAAAAUAUGCAAGAAAAAUAAAACAUUUCUGGUCCCUUUUGCACGAGGAGGACUCCAGGAGUGUUAAGAAUCCUGUGAGACCCACCACACCCAAGCUUUUGCUCCCUACUGCCCUGACUGCAGGGACUAAAGAAUUGGGAGUCCACCCAGCAAAGGUGCAGAAAACGUGAAAAUUUUAGCUGCCCUUUUCCUUCAGCACUGUCAACACCCUAUUUUGGAAGGUAGUUUUGAUUUACUUACUUCUGGAUGAACCUGAGUUUCUAAAAGCCUACCAAGAAUCUCAGAUCACUAAUGGAAGUAAUUGAAGGCUGACAUGGUCAACCAGAAGAUAGAGGGGAAAAAAAAAAAUUAGUAUCUAUAUAUGCAGUGUGUCUCUGAGAGAACCAAAUGAAGUGUUAGCAGGAAGAGAUAUAAUAAAGAAAAGAACUUAAAAUCAAAUGU